Molecule: long non-coding RNA, 678 nt
Organism: Magnolia sinica
Lineage: Eukaryota; Viridiplantae; Streptophyta; Magnoliopsida; Magnoliales; Magnoliaceae
Exons: 3
Source: RefSeq, a predicted model, not a curated record
GGCCCUGCAAUCUUUGAGCAUAUCUUACUCAGUGAAUACAUGUAUGAUCCUUCCAAAGGAGCCCUUAAGCAGUGUCAUGAUUGUAUUGGUUGGGUAGAUGCAAUGGCUGGGUGGACUGGUUGGGCUGGCAGUUGGAGCGUUUGAGACUGAACUGCUAACAGAAACAAGUUUAGAUUGUGUUUGGAUUUUAAAACAUUGGUUAUGAUGCCAAUAUAUGUAUAUUGGAAAAUUAAUGUAGGCAUGGUUUUGAAUUGGUUCGUACCAUGUCUUAUGUUAUGACUAACCUUCUUUAAUCCUGUUUCUUUGUCAAAGUUUGGGGAACCAUUUUAGUGGUUUAUUUUCAAAGAGAUUGAUGAUAUUUUCAGUUUUGGAAUCGUUUGAGCAAAACUCAUGUUCAUACUGAGGGCUGGAGCCGCUGCGGUGUUCUCGUACCUUAGAUUUUUGCUAAGUUCAGUGUUUGCUAAUGUCUGUAGGGUUCAUAUUGUAUUAUCUGAACUUUUUAGAAAAGUAAUUUUUGUGCAUAUCAAGAAAGAAAUCUUGGCUGUACACAUUUAUUUAUUUAUCUUAUGAUGCUCUUGUUCUUCAGGGACCUUGGAAAUUCGAACUUAUCAGGCCAUCUGGUACUUGAACUUGGAAAACUUGAACAUCUACAGUAUUUGUAGAUGUUGCAUGUGGGAG